GUCCUCGCCCCUGCUCUCCCUCGCUAGCUCCUCCCCUUAGACUCUUCCUCCCCUCUCCGGACCCUGCGCCACCAUCGGAGCGGCCAACUGCAGCGGCCCCGAUGCCCGCGCCGCCAUGCCAAGGCUGCCGUCCCUCUGCUCGUCGUCACACCACCUCCAGAAAGCGCAUCUACCCUCUGCUAGCCAAUAUUGGGCAGUGCCCCUAACGCUACUGACUUUGACAGGGGUUGCUUUAGCCGCUACACAAACCGUUGAUGCUUCGGUCUUCGUCGUUGCCAGCACCUGUUGCACAAUCCACCACCUGACUUCCAUCCUACUUAUCUGUUUUGUACGGUUGUCCCGAGAAGUACCCCGAUGACCGACGCCCGCACCACCAUGUAUUCUUGGUUGCAAGACCCCAAAACCAUGACCACCACAAUGAUGCACAAGUACCUCUGUCGACGGCCAUGAACAUGUACCACUACAUGUAAUACUUGCGUCAACGACCCGCAAUAGAUGCUACAUCAAACUCGAUGCGCUCCGAGAUGCAUGCUUUGAAGGUAUACUGCCAAGGCGAUGCCCAUGGAUGAAUGCAUUGUUGUAUGUGAUGCAAUGUUGUUAUGUUUUGUAGAUGUAAUGUUAGUUGCAUGUACCUUCAUAUUCUUGCCUCCGCACAUGGGAACCCGGUAACCGGGAUCACCCAAUCAUUCUUUGGCAUGACAUUCUCACAC
This 710-nucleotide long non-coding RNA is filed under the name Hordeum vulgare. Its description in RNAcentral is "long non-coding RNA (HVUL_LNC004304)". The record is from RNAcentral. Lineage: Eukaryota; Viridiplantae; Streptophyta; Magnoliopsida; Poales; Poaceae.